RNAcentral lists this ribosomal RNA (2901 nucleotides) under Escherichia coli. RNAcentral's name for it is "bacterial LSU rRNA". It matches the Rfam family "Bacterial large subunit ribosomal RNA". The record is from RNAcentral. RNAcentral also lists the same sequence under 2 other names. Lineage: Bacteria; Pseudomonadati; Pseudomonadota; Gammaproteobacteria; Enterobacterales; Enterobacteriaceae.
UUAAGCGACUAAGCGUACACGGUGGAUGCCCUGGCAGUCAGAGGCGAUGAAGGACGUGCUAAUCUGCGAUAAGCGUCGGUAAGGUGAUAUGAACCGUUAUAACCGGCGAUUUCCGAAUGGGGAAACCCAGUGUGUUUCGACACACUAUCAUUAACUGAAUCCAUAGGUUAAUGAGGCGAACCGGGGGAACUGAAACAUCUAAGUACCCCGAGGAAAAGAAAUCAACCGAGAUUCCCCCAGUAGCGGCGAGCGAACGGGGAGCAGCCCAGAGCCUGAAUCAGUGUGUGUGUUAGUGGAAGCGUCUGGAAAGGCGCGCGAUACAGGGUGACAGCCCCGUACACAAAAAUGCACAUGCUGUGAGCUCGAUGAGUAGGGCGGGACACGUGGUAUCCUGUCUGAAUAUGGGGGGACCAUCCUCCAAGGCUAAAUACUCCUGACUGACCGAUAGUGAACCAGUACCGUGAGGGAAAGGCGAAAAGAACCCCGGCGAGGGGAGUGAAAAAGAACCUGAAACCGUGUACGUACAAGCAGUGGGAGCACGCUUAGGCGUGUGACUGCGUACCUUUUGUAUAAUGGGUCAGCGACUUAUAUUCUGUAGCAAGGUUAACCGAAUAGGGGAGCCGAAGGGAAACCGAGUCUUAACUGGGCGUUAAGUUGCAGGGUAUAGACCCGAAACCCGGUGAUCUAGCCAUGGGCAGGUUGAAGGUUGGGUAACACUAACUGGAGGACCGAACCGACUAAUGUUGAAAAAUUAGCGGAUGACUUGUGGCUGGGGGUGAAAGGCCAAUCAAACCGGGAGAUAGCUGGUUCUCCCCGAAAGCUAUUUAGGUAGCGCCUCGUGAAUUCAUCUCCGGGGGUAGAGCACUGUUUCGGCAAGGGGGUCAUCCCGACUUACCAACCCGAUGCAAACUGCGAAUACCGGAGAAUGUUAUCACGGGAGACACACGGCGGGUGCUAACGUCCGUCGUGAAGAGGGAAACAACCCAGACCGCCAGCUAAGGUCCCAAAGUCAUGGUUAAGUGGGAAACGAUGUGGGAAGGCCCAGACAGCCAGGAUGUUGGCUUAGAAGCAGCCAUCAUUUAAAGAAAGCGUAAUAGCUCACUGGUCGAGUCGGCCUGCGCGGAAGAUGUAACGGGGCUAAACCAUGCACCGAAGCUGCGGCAGCGACACUAUGUGUUGUUGGGUAGGGGAGCGUUCUGUAAGCCUGUGAAGGUGUGCUGUGAGGCAUGCUGGAGGUAUCAGAAGUGCGAAUGCUGACAUAAGUAACGAUAAAGCGGGUGAAAAGCCCGCUCGCCGGAAGACCAAGGGUUCCUGUCCAACGUUAAUCGGGGCAGGGUGAGUCGACCCCUAAGGCGAGGCCGAAAGGCGUAGUCGAUGGGAAACAGGUUAAUAUUCCUGUACUUGGUGUUACUGCGAAGGGGGGACGGAGAAGGCUAUGUUGGCCGGGCGACGGUUGUCCCGGUUUAAGCGUGUAGGCUGGUUUUCCAGGCAAAUCCGGAAAAUCAAGGCUGAGGCGUGAUGACGAGGCACUACGGUGCUGAAGCAACAAAUGCCCUGCUUCCAGGAAAAGCCUCUAAGCAUCAGGUAACAUCAAAUCGUACCCCAAACCGACACAGGUGGUCAGGUAGAGAAUACCAAGGCGCUUGAGAGAACUCGGGUGAAGGAACUAGGCAAAAUGGUGCCGUAACUUCGGGAGAAGGCACGCUGAUAUGUAGGUGAAGUCCCUCGCGGAUGGAGCUGAAAUCAGUCGAAGAUACCAGCUGGCUGCAACUGUUUAUUAAAAACACAGCACUGUGCAAACACGAAAGUGGACGUAUACGGUGUGACGCCUGCCCGGUGCCGGAAGGUUAAUUGAUGGGGUUAGCGCAAGCGAAGCUCUUGAUCGAAGCCCCGGUAAACGGCGGCCGUAACUAUAACGGUCCUAAGGUAGCGAAAUUCCUUGUCGGGUAAGUUCCGACCUGCACGAAUGGCGUAAUGAUGGCCAGGCUGUCUCCACCCGAGACUCAGUGAAAUUGAACUCGCUGUGAAGAUGCAGUGUACCCGCGGCAAGACGGAAAGACCCCGUGAACCUUUACUAUAGCUUGACACUGAACAUUGAGCCUUGAUGUGUAGGAUAGGUGGGAGGCUUUGAAGUGUGGACGCCAGUCUGCAUGGAGCCGACCUUGAAAUACCACCCUUUAAUGUUUGAUGUUCUAACGUUGACCCGUAAUCCGGGUUGCGGACAGUGUCUGGUGGGUAGUUUGACUGGGGCGGUCUCCUCCUAAAGAGUAACGGAGGAGCACGAAGGUUGGCUAAUCCUGGUCGGACAUCAGGAGGUUAGUGCAAUGGCAUAAGCCAGCUUGACUGCGAGCGUGACGGCGCGAGCAGGUGCGAAAGCAGGUCAUAGUGAUCCGGUGGUUCUGAAUGGAAGGGCCAUCGCUCAACGGAUAAAAGGUACUCCGGGGAUAACAGGCUGAUACCGCCCAAGAGUUCAUAUCGACGGCGGUGUUUGGCACCUCGAUGUCGGCUCAUCACAUCCUGGGGCUGAAGUAGGUCCCAAGGGUAUGGCUGUUCGCCAUUUAAAGUGGUACGCGAGCUGGGUUUAGAACGUCGUGAGACAGUUCGGUCCCUAUCUGCCGUGGGCGCUGGAGAACUGAGGGGGGCUGCUCCUAGUACGAGAGGACCGGAGUGGACGCAUCACUGGUGUUCGGGUUGUCAUGCCAAUGGCACUGCCCGGUAGCUAAAUGCGGAAGAGAUAAGUGCUGAAAGCAUCUAAGCACGAAACUUGCCCCGAGAUGAGUUCUCCCUGACUCCUUGAGAGUCCUGAAGGAACGUUGAAGACGACGACGUUGAUAGGCCGGGUGUGUAAGCGCAGCGAUGCGUUGAGCUAACCGGUACUAAUGAACCGUGAGGCUUAACCUU